Molecule: ribosomal RNA, 1170 nt
Filed under: uncultured Bacteroides sp.
Lineage: Bacteria; Pseudomonadati; Bacteroidota; Bacteroidia; Bacteroidales; Bacteroidaceae
Description: bacterial SSU rRNA
Rfam family: Bacterial small subunit ribosomal RNA
Source: RNAcentral
AGUUUGAUCCUGGCUCAGGAUGAACGCUAGCUACAGGCUUAACACAUGCAAGUCGAGGGGCAGCAUGAACUUAGCUUGCUAAGUUUGAUGGCGACCGGCGCACGGGUGAGUAGCACGUAUCCAACCUGCCGAUGACUCGGGGAUAGCCUUUCGAAAGAAAGAUUAAUACCCGAUGGCAUAGUUCUUCCGCAUGGUAGAACUAUUAAAGAACUUCGGUCAUCGAUGGGGAUGCGUUCCAUUAGGUUGUUGGCGGGGUAACGGCCCACCAAGCCUUCGAUGGAUAGGGGUUCUGAGAGGAAGGUCCCCCACAUUGGAACUGAGACACGGUCCAAACUCCUACGGGAGGCAGCAGUGAGGAAUAUUGGUCAAUGGACGAGAGUCUGAACCAGCCAAGUAGCGUGAAGGAUGACUGCCCUAUGGGUUGUAAACUUCUUUUAUACGGGAAUAAAGUGAGGCACGUGUGCCUUUUUGUAUGUACCGUAUGAAUAAGGAUCGGCUAACUCCGUGCCAGCAGCCGCGGUAAUACGGAGGAUCCGAGCGUUAUCCGGAUUUAUUGGGUUUAAAGGGAGCGUAGGCGGACGCUUAAGUCAGUUGUGAAAGUUUGCGGCUCAACCGUAAAAUUGCAGUUGAUACUGGGUGUCUUGAGUACAGUAGAGGCAGGCGGAAUUCGUGGUGUAGCGGUGAAAUGCUUAGAUAUCACGAAGAACUCCGAUUGCGAAGGCAGCUUGCUGGACUGUAACUGACGCUGAUGCUCGAAAGUGUGGGUAUCAAACAGGAUUAGAUACCCUGGUAGUCCACACAGUAAACGAUGAAUACUCGCUGUUUGCGAUAUACGGUAAGCGGCCAAGCGAAAGCGUUAAGUAUUCCACCUGGGGAGUACGCCGGCAACGGUGAAACUCAAAGGAAUUGACGGGGGCCCGCACAAGCGGAGGAACAUGUGGUUUAAUUCGAUGAUACGCGAGGAACCUUACCCGGGCUUGAAUUGCAACUGAAUGAUGUGGAGACAUGUCAGCCGCAAGGCAGUUGUGAAGGUGCUGCAUGGUUGUCGUCAGCUCGUGCCGUGAGGUGUCGGCUUAAGUGCCAUAACGAGCGCAACCCUUAUCGAUAGUUACCAUCAGGUGAUGCUGGGGACUCUGUCGAGACUGCCGUCGUAAGAUGUGAGGAAGGUGG